This 230-nucleotide ribosomal RNA is filed under the name uncultured bacterium. RNAcentral's name for it is "partial 16S ribosomal RNA". It matches the Rfam family "Bacterial small subunit ribosomal RNA", at positions 102 to 334 of the family's 1533-position model. The record is from RNAcentral.
UACGUCAGCGGCGAGACGGGUGAGUAACGCGUGGGAACGUACCUUUUGGUUCGGAACAACACAGGGAAACUUGUGCUAAUACCGGAUAAGCCCUUACGGGGAAAGAUUUAUCGCCGAAAGAUCGGCCCGCGUCUGAUUAGCUAGUUGGUGAGGUAACGGCUCACCAAGGCGACGAUCAGUAGCUGGUCUGAGAGGAUGAUCAGCCACAUUGGGACUGAGACACGGCCCAA